GUGGAUAUAGCUCAGUGGUAGAGUGCGUGCUUAGCAUGCACAAGGUCCUGGAUUCAAUCCCCAGUAACUCCA
Transfer RNA from Camelus ferus (Wild Bactrian camel), 72 nucleotides. It matches the Rfam family "tRNA". From Rfam's summary of the family: Transfer RNA (tRNA) molecules are approximately 80 nucleotides in length. Their secondary structure includes four short double-helical elements and three loops (D, anti-codon, and T loops). Lineage: Eukaryota; Metazoa; Chordata; Mammalia; Artiodactyla; Camelidae. The record is from Rfam.